RNAcentral lists this transfer RNA (99 nucleotides) under [Torrubiella] hemipterigena. Its description in RNAcentral is "Torrubiella hemipterigena tRNA". It matches the Rfam family "tRNA". From Rfam's summary of the family: Transfer RNA (tRNA) molecules are approximately 80 nucleotides in length. Lineage: Eukaryota; Fungi; Ascomycota; Sordariomycetes; Hypocreales; Clavicipitaceae. The record is from Rfam by way of RNAcentral.
GGGCGAAUGGUUUAGUGGUAUAAUACUCCCUUAGCAUGCGCCUUCCUAGUGAUUGCCCAGAUUUGGGAGUGGUCCAGGGUUCGAUUCCCUGUUCGUCCA